AGAAUCAACGCUGGCGGCGUGCCUAACACAUGCAAGUCGAACGAGAAAGUGGAGCAAUCCAUGAGUAAAGUGGCGACCGGGUGAGUAACACGUGACUAACCUACCUUCGAGUGGGGGAUAACCUCGGGAAACCGAGGCUAAUACCGCAUAACAUCGCAAGAUCAAAAGCAGCAAUGCGCUGGAAGAGGGGGUCGCGGCUGAUUAGCUAGUUGGCGGGUAACGGCCACCAAGGCGAAGAUCGGUA
RNAcentral lists this ribosomal RNA (244 nucleotides) under uncultured bacterium. RNAcentral's name for it is "partial small subunit ribosomal RNA". It matches the Rfam family "Bacterial small subunit ribosomal RNA", at positions 26 to 285 of the family's 1533-position model. The record is from RNAcentral.